This 301-nucleotide ribosomal RNA is filed under the name uncultured bacterium. Its description in RNAcentral is "partial 16S ribosomal RNA". It matches the Rfam family "Bacterial small subunit ribosomal RNA", at positions 509 to 807 of the family's 1533-position model. The record is from RNAcentral.
CAGCCGCCACGGUAAUACGUAGGGUGCGAGCGUUAAUCGGAAUUACUGGGCGUAAAGCGUGCGCAGGCGGUUUUGUAAGACAGGCGUGAAAUCCCCGGGCUCAACCUGGGAAUGGCGCUUGUGACUGCAGAGCUAGAGUGCGGCAGAGGGGGAUGGAAUUCCGCGUGUAGCAGUGAAAUGCGUAGAUAUGCGGAGGAACACCGAUGGCGAAGGCAAUCCCCUGGGCCUGCACUGACGCUCAUGCACGAAAGCGUGGGGAGCAAACAGGAUUAGAUACCCGAGUAGUCCCUGUCUCUUAUAC